AGCGAGGCUAGAGUCACACCUGGACAUGGUCCUGUUGACCUGGUGUGCUAGAGCGCUUGCAGAGUAAAGUUGUCUUUGCUUAUUUAUUGGCUGUAGUCUACUGUGGCCCAGUCAGUCACCAUCACAGACACAUUU
This is a small nucleolar RNA of Thalassophryne amazonica, 135 nucleotides long. RefSeq annotates it as small nucleolar RNA SNORA3/SNORA45 family. NCBI's taxonomy places the organism in Eukaryota, Metazoa, Chordata, Actinopteri, Batrachoidiformes, Batrachoididae. The transcript has a single exon. The record is from RefSeq and is a predicted model, not a curated record.